This is a long non-coding RNA of Colossoma macropomum (tambaqui), 509 nucleotides long. RefSeq lists it as uncharacterized. The record is from RefSeq and is a predicted model, not a curated record. Lineage: Eukaryota; Metazoa; Chordata; Actinopteri; Characiformes; Serrasalmidae. The transcript is spliced from 4 exons.
AAGAGGUUUGUGAUGGGCAGGUUGAGUGACCGCUGGUUCAUGAAUAGCUCCUCCUUGACCAGUUUUUAAACACGUUCUUCUUUAGAAGCUGUCCACAAACAGACAGUGAAGCCAAAACACAAAUACAAUCAGCCACCAUGAGGGCUCUGCUGCUUCUUGGUAUCUUGUGUGCUGCUCUGGUGCUGCCAGCACUUGCAGAUAAUGUGAAGUCCUUUGACUAUUACCACCCUUUAACUCAUACCGAUGAAGAAGUGAGAAAAUCCAUUUUUGAGGGCAUGACCCCUGAAGAGAAAGAAGAGUGGAUGAAAAAUUACCAGCAACAUCAAAGUCAGGCAGAUAAGCCAUGCUGAAGGCCUGGGUUGACAUAUGCACCAGUGAAGCAGUCGGCCUGACAGAGAAAUCAAAUGUUCAACGACACCAAAUACUGUCAUGUGUAACCUUUCACAUGAUUGAGAUAUGAAAAUAAACAAAGAAUUGAUUGUCAUAUUGAUUAUAGACACAAAUGAACU